RNAcentral lists this ribosomal RNA (254 nucleotides) under uncultured bacterium. RNAcentral describes it as "partial 16S ribosomal RNA". It matches the Rfam family "Bacterial small subunit ribosomal RNA", at positions 524 to 776 of the family's 1533-position model. The record is from RNAcentral.
GACGUAGGGCGCGAGCGUUGUCCGGAUUUAUUGGGCGUAAAGAGCUCGUAGGCGGCUUGUUACGUCGACUGUGAAGACCCGCGGCUCAACCGUGUGGCUUGCAGUCGAUACGGGCAGGCUAGAGUUCGGUAGGGGAGACUGGAAUUCCUGGUGUAGCGGUGAAAUGCGCAGAUAUCAGGAGGAACACCGGUGGCGAAGGCGGGUCUCUGGGCCGAUACUGACGCUGAGGAGCGAAAGCGUGGGGAGCGAACAGG